CCUGGCUCAGAUUGAACGCUGGCGGCAGGCCUAACACAUGCAAGUCGAGCGGUAACACAGGGAGCUUGCUCCUGGGUGACGAGCGGCGGACGGGUGAGUAAUGUCUGGGAAACUGCCUGAUGGAGGGGGAUAACUACUGGAAACGGUAGCUAAUACCGCAUAACGUCGAAAGACCAAAGAGGGGGACCUUCGGGCCUCUUGCCAUCAGAUGUGCCCAGAUGGGAUUAGCUAGUAGGUGAGGUAACGGCUCACCUAGGCGACGAUCCCUAGCUGGUCUGAGAGGAUGACCAGCCACACUGGAACUGAGACACGGUCCAGACUCCUACGG
This 328-nucleotide ribosomal RNA is filed under the name uncultured bacterium. Its description in RNAcentral is "bacterial SSU rRNA". It matches the Rfam family "Bacterial small subunit ribosomal RNA", at positions 18 to 344 of the family's 1533-position model. The record is from RNAcentral.